UGUCAAUGAUAAAAACUUUGACUUGAUUCUAGAGAUGUGUCGUCUUAAAAGUCAUUCUCAAUAUGGUUAUGCUUAGGACC
Molecule: small nucleolar RNA, 80 nt
Filed under: Carlito syrichta (Philippine tarsier)
Lineage: Eukaryota; Metazoa; Chordata; Mammalia; Primates; Tarsiidae
Description: Small nucleolar RNA SNORD115 (ENSTSYG00000026396.1)
Source: RNAcentral